This 274-nucleotide ribosomal RNA is filed under the name uncultured bacterium. RNAcentral describes it as "partial 16S ribosomal RNA". It matches the Rfam family "Archaeal small subunit ribosomal RNA", at positions 473 to 747 of the family's 1478-position model. The record is from RNAcentral.
AAACCAGCACCUCAAGUGGUCAGGAGGAUUAUUGGGCCUAAAGCAUCCGUAGCCUGUUCUGUAAGUUUUCGGUUAAAUCCAUUAGCUCAACUAAUGGGCCGCCGAAAAUACUGUAGAACUCGGGAGUGGGAGAGGUAGACGGUAUUCGGUAGGAAGGGGUAAAAUCCUUUGAUCUAUUGAGGACCACCUGUGGCGAAGGCGGUCUACCAGAACACGUUCGACGGUGAGGGAUGAAAGCUGGGGGAGCAAACCGGAUUAGAAACCCCAGUAGUCC